GAUGAACGCUGGCGGCGUGCCUAAUACAUGCAAGUCGAGCGAAUGGAUUAGGAGCUUGCUCUUAUGAAGUUAGCGGCGGACGGGUGAGUAACACGUGGGUAACCUGCCCGUAAGACUGGGAUAACUCCGGGAAACCGGGGCUAAUACCGGAUAACAUUUUGAACCGCAUGGUUCGAAAUUGAAAGGCGGCUUCGGCUGUCACUUAUGGAUGGACCCGCGUCGCAUUAGCUAGUUGGUGAGGUAACGGCUCACCAAGGCAACGAUGCGUAGCCGACCUGAGAGGGUGAUCGGCCACACUGGGACUGAGACACGGCCCAGACUCCUACGGGAGGCAGCAGUAGGGAAUCUUCCGCAAUGGACGAAAGUCUGACGGAGCAACGCCGCGUGAGUGAUGAAGGCUUUCGGGUCGUAAAACUCUGUUGUUAGGGAAGAACAAGUGCUAGUUGAAUAAGCUGGCACCUUGACGGUACCUAACCAGAAAGCCACGGCUAACUACGUGCCAGCCGCCGCGGUAA
This 515-nucleotide ribosomal RNA is filed under the name uncultured bacterium. Its description in RNAcentral is "partial 16S ribosomal RNA". It matches the Rfam family "Bacterial small subunit ribosomal RNA", at positions 28 to 523 of the family's 1533-position model. The record is from RNAcentral.